This 88-nucleotide transfer RNA is filed under the name Acidobacteriota bacterium. RNAcentral's name for it is "tRNA-Leu". It matches the Rfam family "tRNA". From Rfam's summary of the family: Transfer RNA (tRNA) molecules are approximately 80 nucleotides in length. Their secondary structure includes four short double-helical elements and three loops (D, anti-codon, and T loops). The record is from RNAcentral. RNAcentral also lists the same sequence under 6 other names. Lineage: Bacteria; Pseudomonadati; Acidobacteriota.
GCGGCUGUGGCGAAAUUGGCAUACGCGGUGGGCUUAAAAUCCACUGGGGUUUUCCCCGUUGUCGGUUCGAGUCCGACCAGCCGCACCA